Molecule: ribosomal RNA, 428 nt
Filed under: Thermococcus sp. ES11
Lineage: Archaea; Methanobacteriati; Methanobacteriota; Thermococci; Thermococcales; Thermococcaceae
Description: bacterial SSU rRNA
Rfam family: Archaeal small subunit ribosomal RNA
Source: RNAcentral
UCAGUAACACGUCGGUAACCUACCCUCGGGAGGGGGAUAACCCCGGGAAACUGGGGCUAAUCCCCCAUAGGCCUGAGGUACUGGAAGGUCCUCAGGCCGAAAGGGCGUAAGCCGCCCGAGGAUGGGCCGGCGGCCGAUUAGGUAGUUGGUGGGGUAACGGCCCACCAAGCCGAAGAUCGGUACGGGCCAUGAGAGUGGGAGCCCGGAGAUGGACACUGAGACACGGGUCCAGGCCCUACGGGGCGCAGCAGGCGCGAAACCUCCGCAAUGCGGGAAACCGCGACGGGGGGACCCCCAGUGCCGUGGCAUCGCCACGGCUUUUCCGGAGUGUAAAGAGCUCCGGGAAUAAGGGCUGGGCAAGGCCGGUGGCAGCCGCCGCGGUAAUACCGGCGGCCCGAGUGGUGGCCGCUAUUAUUGGGCCUAAAGCG